GACGAACGCUGGCGGCGUGCCUAAUACAUGCCAGUCGAACGCUGAAGGCGGAGCUUGCUUCUCUGGACGAGUUGCGAACGGGUGAGUAACGCGUAGGUAACCUGCCUGGUAGUGGGGGAUAACUAUAGGAAACGAUAGCUAAUACCGCAUAAGAGCAGAUGUUGCAUGACAUUUGCUUAAAAGGUGCAAUUGCAUCACUACCAGAUGGACCUGCGUUGUAUGUGCUAGUUGGUGGGGUAACGCCUCACCAAGGCGAGGAUACAUAGCGGACCGGGGAGGGUGAUCAGCCGGACUGGGAGGGUGACCGGGCACAGACGGCUACGGGAGGGAGCAGGAGGGAAUCUUGGGCAAUGGACGGAAGUCUGACCGAGCAACGCCGAGUGAGUGAAGAAGGUUUUCGGAUCGUAAAGGUCUGUUGUCAGGGAAGAACGAGUGUGAGAGUGGAAAGUUCACUCUGUGACGGUAACUUACAAAGAAGCAACGGCUAACUACGUG
This 495-nucleotide ribosomal RNA is filed under the name uncultured bacterium. RNAcentral's name for it is "partial 16S ribosomal RNA". It matches the Rfam family "Bacterial small subunit ribosomal RNA", at positions 28 to 507 of the family's 1533-position model. The record is from RNAcentral.